Molecule: non-coding RNA, 78 nt
Organism: Schistosoma margrebowiei
Lineage: Eukaryota; Metazoa; Platyhelminthes; Trematoda; Strigeidida; Schistosomatidae
Source: Rfam
ACUCUUCUGUAUCUGUGCUGCGAUUUCGUCGCACACCAGACCACAAGAACUGAUGAAAACCCCAAGGUAAGUGAAGCG